AUACGGAGGGGGCUAGCGUUGUUCGGAAUUACUGGGCGUAAAGCGCGCGUAGGCGGAUUGGUUAGUUGGGGGUGAAAUCCCAGGGCUCAACCCUGGAACUGCCCUCAAUACUGCCAGUCUAGAGAUCGAGAGAGGUGAGUGGAAUUCCUAGUGUAGAGGUGAAAUUCGUAGAUAUUAGGAAGAACACCAGUGGCGAAGGCGGCUCACUGGCUCGAUACUGACGCUGAGGCGCGAAAGCGUGGGGAGCAAACAGGAUUAGAUACCCCAGUAGUCC
This 274-nucleotide ribosomal RNA is filed under the name uncultured bacterium. Its description in RNAcentral is "partial 16S ribosomal RNA". It matches the Rfam family "Bacterial small subunit ribosomal RNA", at positions 523 to 796 of the family's 1533-position model. The record is from RNAcentral.